GAUGAACGCUGGCGGCGUGCCUAAUACAUGCAAGUCGAGCGAACAGACGAGGAGCUUGCUCCUCUGACGUUAGCGGCGGACGGGUGAGUAACACGUGGAUAACCUACCUAUAAGACUGGGAUAACUUCGGGAAACCGGAGCUAAUACCGGAUAAUAUAUUGAACCGCAUGGUUCAAUGGUGAAAGACGGUUUUGCUGUCACUUAUAGAUGGAUCCGCGCCGCAUUAGCUAGUUGGUAAGGUAACGGCUUACCAAGGCAACGAUGCGUAGCCGACCUGAGAGGGUGAUCGGCCACACUGGAACUGAGACACGGUCCAGACUCCUACGGGAGGCAGCAGUAGGGAAUCUUCCGCAAUGGGCGAAAGCCUGACGGAGCAACGCCGCGUGAGUGAUGAAGGUCUUCGGAUCGUAAAACUCUGUUAUUAGGGAAGAACAAAUGUGUAAGUAACUAUGCACGUCUUGACGGUACCUAAUCAGAAAGCCACGGCUAACUACGU
RNAcentral lists this ribosomal RNA (496 nucleotides) under uncultured bacterium. RNAcentral's name for it is "partial 16S ribosomal RNA". It matches the Rfam family "Bacterial small subunit ribosomal RNA", at positions 28 to 506 of the family's 1533-position model. The record is from RNAcentral.